This 733-nucleotide ribosomal RNA is filed under the name uncultured Lachnospiraceae bacterium. RNAcentral describes it as "bacterial SSU rRNA". It matches the Rfam family "Bacterial small subunit ribosomal RNA", at positions 24 to 757 of the family's 1533-position model. Lineage: Bacteria; Bacillati; Bacillota; Clostridia; Lachnospirales; Lachnospiraceae. The record is from RNAcentral.
UCAGGAUGAACGCUGUCGGCGUGCUUAACACAUGCAAGUCGAGCGAAGCACUUUUGCGGAUUUCUUCGGAUUGAAGCAAUUGUGACUGAGCGGCGGACGGGUGAGUAACGCGUGGGUAACCUGCCUCAUACAGGGGGAUAACAGUUGGAAACGGCUGCUAAUACCGCAUAAGCGCACAGUACCGCAUGGUACCGUGUGAAAAACUCCGGUGGUAUGAGAUGGACCCGCGUCUGAUUAGCUAGUUGGUGGGGUAACGGCCUACCAAGGCGACGAUCAGUAGCCGACCUGAGAGGGUGACCGGCCACAUUGGGACUGAGACACGGCCCAAACUCCUACGGGAGGCAGCAGUGGGGAAUAUUGCACAAUGGGGGAAACCCUGAUGCAGCGACGCCGCGUGAGCGAUGAAGUAUUUCGGUAUGUAAAGCUCUAUCAGCAGGGAAGAAAAUGACGGUACCUGACUAAGAAGCCCCGGCUAACUACGUGCCAGCAGCCGCGGUAAUACGUAGGGGGCAAGCGUUAUCCGGAUUUACUGGGUGUAAAGGGAGCGUAGACGGCAUGGCAAGCCAGAUGUGAAAGCCCGGGGCUCAACCCCGGGACUGCAUUUGGAACUGUCAGGCUAGAGUGUCGGAGAGGAAAGCGGAAUUCCUAGUGUAGCGGUGAAAUGCGUAGAUAUUAGGAGGAACACCAGUGGCGAAGGCGGCUUUCUGGACGAUGACUGACGUUGAGGCUCGAA